Carcharodon carcharias (great white shark) is the source of this 1001-nucleotide long non-coding RNA. RefSeq lists it as uncharacterized. Lineage: Eukaryota; Metazoa; Chordata; Chondrichthyes; Lamniformes; Lamnidae. The transcript has 2 exons. The record is from RefSeq and is a predicted model, not a curated record.
GAUACAACCCACUCGGAGAAAGCUGACAGUGUGGUCUUGCUCUUUCUCCUCUUCAAUUUCAUACAUCCAAAGCUGCGUUGAUUUAUGCCACUGACCAAAUAUGGCUGGUCUGAUAGUUAUGUAGCAGUUAUUGACUCUUCAAGGUGUCAGCUUUCUCCAAUGUAAUUCCAAACUAAUUUUUGAGGAUGGCUUUUUUUAAUCACUAAUUGGUUUCUUUAAGCCAGUAUUAUUGGACCAGUCCUUAUACUGAGAUUUCUGGAUAAUUCACUGAGCAAGGAACAUUUGUUGUUUUAUGGUGAAGCUAAUGGGUGAAUCAGAUUGUUGCAUGUUUUGGAAAUGAUAAUGGAGCGUUUUUUCUUUUUUUCCAUCCCACUUUCUCCCCAAAUCUUUUUUAAAUGUGAAAAUGCUUGUGUGAAAAUGCUGAUUUAAUAAAAUGGCUGGUGGAGAAUUUGUUACCUAUUAUAUAAAAUCAACAUUUUUGCUCAAGCAAAUUUCACUAGCUUCCUUUUGCAGCAAGGGAAAUAGCAAAUCUGGCUGCUGAAGGGUGACAGAAUGUCUUAAAGAUCCAGAUCUGCAAUACCAGCACCACAAACAAAACAAGAAAGCGAAGUCCAUUCUGUAACAACAUUACUGGAAGAUAUUUGCAUCUUAAGAGGGCCGAUUCUUCCCCUUUGCAGGAGUUUGCUUUUUUCCCCCAUUAUUUUAGGACUCCUGAAUUUGGCUUUGUUUUCCAUUUUAGUAUUUCAAUUGUUUGUAAAUUAGUGUAGGUAUUUUGAAUUGUAGAGUUUUCAGUUUGCCGACAUGGCAUAUUUUUGCAGUGGUAAAGCUUUUCGUUUUAGCCCCAUUUUCUUUUCACAGCAGUUCAGUUCAGUUUUUACAGGUUUUUAGAUUCCUAAACCGUUCGGCACUUAAAGCUAGGGGCCUGUAAGAUCGUAAGUCUUGGCGCAUAGUUUGUUCAGUAGUACUGAUCUACUGCUGCCAUGCCAACCUGUAAGACAAGG